Dermacentor albipictus is the source of this 1468-nucleotide RNA transcript. RefSeq lists it as uncharacterized. NCBI's taxonomy places the organism in Eukaryota, Metazoa, Arthropoda, Arachnida, Ixodida, Ixodidae. The record is from RefSeq and is a predicted model, not a curated record.
CAGGACGACCGGGAGAAGAAGGAGGCGGACGUCGUGACCAGUCCUGACGUGAUGGGCCGGCCUCGUAUACCAGGAACGCGCGUUCGCUCACGCACAUAUACGCACGGGCGAUGAAGGAAGAAGCGCGCGCCUUCUCCCGCAUAUAGCGGCGAGCGCCAAAACCGCCAUUAUACGGGUACGAGCACGGGGCCGUCAAAGUUUAUACCACGUUGAUCUCUCUCGUGCAGCGCUGCGGGACAGAGGCUCCUCUGCUGGCGCAUGUGGGAGCCCCGGGGCGUCAACGAUGCGGCGGAGAGCUUUAAUGACGAGGAGGCUAUGCAGGACAGCGGCUAUGUAGGAGGCGCCGCUGGGACGCUGGGUGUCGUGCCACGGUCAAGAACAAAGUCUUCCUCGAGCAAGCGGAGAUGAUCGACCGCCGGCGGACAGCGGAGUGAGGGAAGGUGGCGCUUUCCCGUUUCCAUUGUGGUACACUCGGUGGCCUGGAGCGAAAACGAAAGCGGCAAUGAUGGCUGCUGCAUUCCUUCGGGAGCCCUCGCCACGGGGGUGCGAUUUUCAAGAUCACCGGAUAGUUGAGCUUCGGGCAAGUAUGCGGAAACAUCAGCUGGAAAAAAAGUACCAGUCAGCACGAGCAUUCAAGCAUCCAUGCACUCACCAUGGCAUUCUCCAAGUUCAAAGUUCACGAAUCCGCGCCUCUUCCCCAUCCUUAAUAGAUGGGCUUCCCGGCUGCUACCGGCAAAAGCCGCAAUCAAGCCAAUUCAGGUCGAGGGCCCUUACAGAAGAACAAGUUGAAGAAGACGAAACAAACAAGAAGCAAAGGCAAUAAUUUCAUCUAAGCGAGAACUACACGGCGACGUUAAAGUAUAGCAAUAUUGCAGCAAAGCACUAACAUGGUAAUGUGUGAGAAAAGUGUCAACCAAACGCUCAACUAAUGAAAAUACAAGGACGUCAAUAAUCUGGCGAUAACGGUUAUAUGGUCAUGGGAGAAAUAUUCUAUUGUAGUUCAGUGACUUCUACAGAGACGCCAAGCUCGGUGAGCAAACAAAGAAGCUGAAGCAGCGACUCGUGUCGAGCCUGUAUUCGCAGUACUGCGUGUUCUUGAAGAUUGUCGUGUAGACUCAAUGUACCGAGCAACAACAGCGCACGACGAACAGGAAUCAAAGUAUAUGGGCCAAACAAUGAAACCCUCCUUUCCUCAGUAAGGAAGCCUUCAUUGCGGUGAGGCCACCUUAUGUCACUUUGAAAGCUUCCUAACUGAGGCGCCCUCGGUGAAGGCUUCCUUGGUACUUCCUCAGCAUAAGCAGCCAAACAAUGAAAUCUUCCUUUACCUCACUAAGGAAGCCUUCAUUGCGGUGAGGCUACCUUAUGUCACUCUGAAAGCUUCCUUGCUGAGGGGCCCUCGGUGAAGGCUUCCUUGGUGCUUCCUCAGCGUAAGGUAGCUCCAAAGCUACCUUCAUGCGUCCUUACGCCG